GCCCGAGUGGUGAAAUUGGUAGACACAAGGGACUUAAAAUCCCUCGACCUUUGGUCGUGCCGGUUCGACCCCGGCCUCGGGCACCA
RNAcentral lists this transfer RNA (86 nucleotides) under Lautropia sp. Its description in RNAcentral is "tRNA-Leu". It matches the Rfam family "tRNA". From Rfam's summary of the family: Transfer RNA (tRNA) molecules are approximately 80 nucleotides in length. Their secondary structure includes four short double-helical elements and three loops (D, anti-codon, and T loops). The record is from RNAcentral. Lineage: Bacteria; Pseudomonadati; Pseudomonadota; Betaproteobacteria; Burkholderiales; Burkholderiaceae.